CUACGGGCGGCUCCAGUGAGGAAUAUUGCACAAUGGGGGGAACCCUGAUGCAGCAACGCCGCGUGGAGGAUGACGCAUUUCGGUGUGUAAACUCCUUUUAUAUGUCAAGAAAAUGACGGUAGCAUAUGAAUAAGCACCGGCUAACUCCGUGCCAGCAGCCGCGGUAAUACGGAGGGUGCAAGCGUUACUCGGAAUCACUGGGCGUAAAGGACGCGUAGGCGGGUUGGAAAGUCAGGUGUGUGAAUCCUACAGCUUAACUGUAGAACUGCACUUGAAACUUCUAAUCUAGAGUAUGGGAGGGGGAGAGGAAAUUAGUGGUGUAGGGGUAAAAUCCGUAGAUAUCACUAGGAAUACCUAAGGAGAAGGCGACCUCCUGGAACAUUACUGACGCUAAGGCUUGAAAGCGUGGGCAGCAAACAGGAUUAGAUACCCUCGUAGUC
This 440-nucleotide ribosomal RNA is filed under the name uncultured bacterium. RNAcentral's name for it is "partial 16S ribosomal RNA". It matches the Rfam family "Bacterial small subunit ribosomal RNA", at positions 339 to 795 of the family's 1533-position model. The record is from RNAcentral.